CCUUGUAAUUUUGCCAUUGGUAAUAGGGUUCUGACAGCUGACCAUAACGCCAUUUCGAAAUCCAUUACAAGCUUCUCCACGUUACACUCCCCAGUUACUUCUAAGAUUGCUUUUAAUACCUUUCGGUAAUCUUUUUUUUUUCUUUUCCCUGAGGAUUACCGCCGCACCAUGCGGCGGUAAUCCUCCUGAGUUAUACCAGUGUCACACGUUCGGUGCUGCCACUGGUCACACCCAUCGCACUGCAGCGCUUGCUGGCGUGGACGGACUUCAGUAGAACAGCAAAUGCAUGGAAAGGAAGCCAUGGUCAGAAUAUGGUCCUAUGCAGGGUCUUGUUCCGAAGUAACUUUGCUUCAUAUUAAUUCCAGACCAGUAAUUUUGCAUAUCGAGACCCAUUAGUUAAUGUAAGAGAUUCGCGACAGGUUCAUAUAUCUUCAUCAGAAACAUUUCGUGUAUCGAGCUGUGAUGAGUGAGUAUUUAACUUAAUAGCUUCGAAAUAAUUAAGCCAUACGUGAUAUAUAUUAAACUUAGGACUAUCGGAACACCUGAGUUGCGCUCUGCCAACCUGACUGUGGUCCACACUGGGACUGGAUUCAUCGUUCAUCAGAUCGAAGUGAUCGGGCAAACGAUACUCAAAACAUUCGGUAUUUCGGUUCCAUCAAAUGUCGUGGAAUCAUGGAUUGUAAACAAGGCGAUGAGUCACGCACACAUAGGGGAGGCCGGUAUGAUUUGGGUCAAAGGUAAGGGAGGCCGGAGUGACCAGGGCCGGAAGAACUAGGGGCCGGAGUGACCUGGGCCGGAAGAACUAGGGGGCCGGAGUAACUUGUUUCGCACCUGAGGUGGUGUAAGUUAACAUCUCACCCGAAAACUCUUAUAUAAAUAUUUAUGUGCACAAAAUAACCUUUUUUUUUCAUUGUUUACAAGGUUUACCACCAAGAAAGCAUGGUUUUGUGAUGCAUAAAGUGAAAUAUUGCAUAGAGCACCAAAAAUAAAGCAGGAAAAGGCUGAUUUGCCCCACGUGCGCGCUCCUCAUUCCGCCUCGCAGCAACAAGUGUGUACUGUGAUUAAGUAUUGUUUUCGUCGUUUCACCUGCAUGUAUUGGAUAUUUUCUUUGCAUACUUCCACGUUCGUGCCUUGAAGUGAGAAAGGCGCUUUUGGGAUCGCCUUGACCCCUUGGCAUUGAGUAAUAAUGAGCUCAUGCUCAUAUAUCACUUCCCUCGGCAGACCUAAUCCUCUUGUUUGAGGAGAUGCAGCCUCAGCUGGAGAGAAGGACAAGGCGUAGCCGGGCAUUACCAACUCACACCCAGAUUUUGCUGUCCCUGAGAUUGUUUGCCAGUGGGUCCUUCCAAAAUGUCAUUGGAGACACUGCAGACCUACGCAAGCGUCAGCAGAGUCUUUGAGUGUGUGUGCACCGAGUUGAGUGAUAAGUCAGUGCAGGAAAUCAAGAUGCCUCCAACACACCUUGAUCAAAGGAGAACUGCACAACAGUUCUUCAGGAUCAAAAAUUUCCCAAGGGUUACUGGGGCCAUUGAUGGCACCCACAUUGCCAUCAAGGCCCCAGGUGUGGACGAGGCCCUUUACUUUAACCAGAAAAGGUAUCACUCCCUCUCAACAUCCAACUUGUUUGUGAUGCGAAUGGAGUGAUCCUCAGCUACUGCUCCAGACUCCCAGGUGCCUGCACUCUUACGGAGGUAGCUUGCAGUACAGACCCAUCAAGUGUGUGAAAAUAAUUAAUGCUUGCCUGCUCCUACACAACCGCUGCAUGAAGUUCCUGAUGACCUACCACCUCUUGAGGAUGAAGCAGUGCCCCAUGCUGGUGCCGACCCUGCUGUGCUGCAGAGGGGUCUACGUGCUCCAGGCAGAAUUGUGCAGCAAGAAAUCAUACAAAACUUCUUCCAGCAAUGAAGGUAUGGCAGUCCUGUAAAUGCUGUGUGAGACCACAUCCACAGCACGACCACCUCCACAGCAGUGUAUGUUGUCUCAUCUGGAGGUCACCCACCUGCAUGGAUAUGAAUGUUGCAAUUAUCAGCCACUUUGAAGUUCACAUGUAAAGCCAAAUGAAAUUGGUGUAAAUCAUGAAUGUAUUAGAGCAUAUUGAUGUUAUUUAGCACUGCAGUGGUCACUGUCUCAGACCUGACUGCCAGAGGUACUGUACAUACUCCUAUUUAUAAUCCAUUGCUUAGUUGGUUCUUGUAUGUUUAUUGACUAUAUGGGUAAAUUGUGUAACAGCACCAACAAUGAAAUACAACAAGUACACGAGCAAACUUUUUAAAUAAUUGCCAGGGUUUUAAGCACUGCUAACAGUCAUCUAACCUAACUAACCUAACCAUAACCUAACCUCAACAAAGUAAAACCAAUAUUCAAGAAAUGAAAUUCAUUACAGCAGUUUGGGUCCCAAAGGUUGUGCAGAAAAACUUUUUUUUUUGUCCCAAUAUGCAACAAAGUCAUACAGAGGAAGUUGUUCACAUUACUCAAAACAGUGUCCAGCAAUGCCCAAAACAUUAGUCAAUUAAAUUCCAUAAGCAAUUAGGUCAAGAAGACAAAAUAUUAAGCAAAUAUGGUAGUGUGGGUAAAUUUUUACUCUAUGUUCAUCUUUUCCACAUGAAACUAUUUGCUUUUUGUCAUUUUUGGCAUACACUGAAUUAGUAUGUUAAUCAAAUCUGAUGUAACAUAACCAAAGUAAUCUAACAAAACCAAAGACAAACCUGAAAUAGCUAAAAUAACCUUGCUUCUCUAAAAAUAUGUACAUGUAGCCGUUUAACAAUUGCUGUCAUCAUUACAAUUAAUUUGCAGUUGGUAUAUGUGGGGUUCAAAUUAUUCUGGAAUGACAAACUGUAUCUGAUGAGAAGGGUAGGAAAGGCCAUGUUGAGACUGGUGAAGGAGUAAAAGAAUACCCUACUGUGUGUGUGUGCUGGAACCAUAAGCCAUGAUUUCACUUACUUGUAGCAGGACAUCACUCCAUUUUUGGUAAUAUCACCCAUCCAUAUAGCCCUCUAUCCCUCUUCUGUCUCAACUGCACCAUGCUAGGUCUGCAACUAUGCCAAUGAAGAUGUGAUAAGAAUAACCAAUUAACUCACCAGUGCC
This is an RNA transcript of Scylla paramamosain (green mud crab), 3081 nucleotides long. It is a transcript of the gene named putative nuclease HARBI1, with no coding region annotated. The transcript is spliced from 6 exons. NCBI's taxonomy places the organism in Eukaryota, Metazoa, Arthropoda, Malacostraca, Decapoda, Portunidae. The record is from RefSeq and is a predicted model, not a curated record.